This is a small nuclear RNA of Chionomys nivalis (European snow vole), 107 nucleotides long. Lineage: Eukaryota; Metazoa; Chordata; Mammalia; Rodentia; Cricetidae. The record is from RefSeq and is a predicted model, not a curated record.
UAGUUCACUUCAAUAAUUAUCAUGCUACUAUGGAAACAGUACAGAGAAGAUUCACAUAACCUCUGCACAGGGAUAAUAUAUAAGUGUGGGAGGUUACCCACACUUCU